This 77-nucleotide transfer RNA is filed under the name Bacilli bacterium. RNAcentral describes it as "tRNA-Arg". It matches the Rfam family "tRNA". From Rfam's summary of the family: Transfer RNA (tRNA) molecules are approximately 80 nucleotides in length. Lineage: Bacteria; Bacillati; Bacillota; Bacilli. The record is from RNAcentral.
GUCCGUGUAGCUCAGCUGGAUAGAGCAUCGCCCUCCUAAGGCGGGGGUCGGGGAUUCGAAUUCCUCCACGGACGCCA